Molecule: long non-coding RNA, 1279 nt
Organism: Acinonyx jubatus (cheetah)
Lineage: Eukaryota; Metazoa; Chordata; Mammalia; Carnivora; Felidae
Exons: 4
Source: RefSeq, a predicted model, not a curated record
CUCGGAGUCUUGGCGCUCCCGGCCGCGCGUUUCGCCCUCACCCGCCCAAUUGUUACCGCCUCGGCCCCCUCCCCCUUCCGGGUACCUGGAAACCUCGGGCCCGGGAGCCAAUUCCUGCCUGGGACUUGGGCCCGGGCGGCCGCGGGAAAGCCAAGGAUACUGCAUUAUAUUUAGUGUUCAUGUCUCCUUAGGCUCCUCUUGGCCAUGAUAUUUCUCAUACUUUCCCGGUUUUUGCUGGCCCCCAUGGUUUUGAGGAAUAACUGAGACCUGUCUAAUAAGAUGAUGCUACGGCCGAUGUCACAAAGAUUGCUGCCUGUGUUCUUCUCUAGGACCAGAAGAGGAAGAGACACCAGGAGUAUGCAUGCACAGACAAAAGACCAUGCAAGGACACAAAGAAGGCAGCUAUCUGAAAGCCAAGGAGCGAGGUCUUUCCAGAAACCAAUCCUGCUGGGGCUGAUCUUGGAUUUCCGGUCUCCAGAACUGUGAGAAAAUAAUCUCCUGUUGUGUAAGCCACCCUGCCUGUGGUAUUUUUUUAUGGCAGCCUGAGCAGAUGACUACAGCAUCUGUUGGCAUUCUUGUUGUUUUUUUUUUAAUUACUGUAAUGUUACAGGGUCACUGCUUGUACCUGUUCUGUCUCACAAGCGUGCACAGUUAAGAGUUCUAUCAGCACAUAACAUGAGUCUCUGAUUUCCAGCUCCUAAUGUCUCUUUUGUGCUGCCUGUUACCUUAUUCCCAAGCCAAUUCUCUAUAUUUUAGUUUUUUAUUUUCUACACCACUUCAAGAAAUCAGUUUCUGCAAGAUGAAUCUCAAACCUUUGGAAGAUUAACACAAAGCAAGUUUAUUUUUCAGGUAAUGAUAACAUGUGGGUGUUCCUGGUUGAUGGGUGGCUGUCCUCCAUACGGAGAAUAGGGACGCACCUUCUUUCAUCAUCUAUGCUCCACCAUAUUCUGGGCUUGCACUGUCCAACAUGGUGCCACGUGUGCUACUGAGUACUUGAAAAAGGGCUAGCAGCACUUGAAAUGUGCAAUAAGAGUAAAACACAUACUGGAUUUUGAAAAAAAGAAGAGUAUCUCAUUGAUAUUUUUUGUAUCUUAGAUACAAUGUUGAAAUAAUUUUUGGAAAUACUGGGUUCAAAGAUGCAUUAUUAAAAUGAAUUUCACCCGUUUUUUCCCCAAACACAUAGUAAUGUGGCUGUUGGAGAAUUAAAAAUAACGUGGUUCACAUUAUAUUUCUCUUGGACAACCGCUCUGAAGCCUCUGGGUCUUCUGCUUCAGUUGGC